AGGAGGCUAGUCUAAAAAAGACCUCUGAUUUCGGCUCAGAAAAUUAUGGUUAAAGUCCACAGCCCCCUU
RNAcentral lists this transfer RNA (69 nucleotides) under Macrhybopsis meeki (sicklefin chub). Its description in RNAcentral is "tRNA-Arg". It matches the Rfam family "tRNA". From Rfam's summary of the family: Transfer RNA (tRNA) molecules are approximately 80 nucleotides in length. The record is from RNAcentral. Lineage: Eukaryota; Metazoa; Chordata; Actinopteri; Cypriniformes; Leuciscidae.